Molecule: ribosomal RNA, 486 nt
Filed under: uncultured bacterium
Lineage: Bacteria
Description: partial 16S ribosomal RNA
Rfam family: Bacterial small subunit ribosomal RNA
Source: RNAcentral
AUUGAACGCUGGCGGCAUGCCUUACACAUGCAAGUCGAACGGCAGCACGGGUGCUUGCACCUGGUGGCGAGUGGCGAACGGGUGAGUAAUACAUCGGAACAUGUCCUGUAGUGGGGGAUAGCCCGGCGAAAGCCGGAUUAAUACCGCAUACGAUCUACGGAUGAAAGCGGGGGACCUUCGGGCCUCGCGCUAUAGGGUUGGCCGAUGGCUGAUUAGCUAGUUGGUGGGGUAAAGGCCUACCAAGGCGACGAUCAGUAGCUGGUCUGAGAGGACGACCAGCCACACUGGGACUGAGACACGGCCCAGACUCCUACGGGAGGCAGCAGUGGGGAAUUUUGGACAAUGGGCGAAAGCCUGAUCCAGCAAUGCCGCGUGUGUGAAGAAGGCCUUCGGGUUGUAAAGCACUUUUGUCCGGAAAGGAAUCCUUGGCCCUGAUACGGUCGGGGGAUGACGGUACCGGAAGAAUAAGCACCGGCUAACUACGUG